Molecule: ribosomal RNA, 503 nt
Filed under: uncultured bacterium
Lineage: Bacteria
Description: partial 16S ribosomal RNA
Rfam family: Bacterial small subunit ribosomal RNA
Source: RNAcentral
AUUGAACGCUGGCGGCAGGCUUAACACAUGCAAGUCGAGCGGGGUGAUGGUGCUUGCACUAUCACUUAGCGGCGGACGGGUGAGUAAUGCUUAGGAAUCUGCCUAUUAGUGGGGGACAACAUCUCGAAAGGGAUGCUAAUACCGCAUACGUCCUACGGGAGAAAGCAGGGGAUCACUUGUGACCUUGCGCUAAUAGAUGAGCCUAAGUCGGAUUAGCUAGUUGGUGGGGUAAAGGCCUACCAAGGCGACGAUCUGUAGCGGGUCUGAGAGGAUGAUCCGCCACAAUGGGAGUGAGACACGGCCCAGACUACUACGGGAGGCAGCAGUGGGGAAUAUUGGACAAUGGGGGGAACCCUGAUCCAGCCAUGCCGCGUGUGUGAAGAAGGCCUUAUGGUUGUAAAGCACUUUAAGCGAGGAGGAGGCUCUUUUGGUUAAUACCCAAGAUGAGUGGACGUUACUCGCAGAAUAAGCACCGGCUAACUCUGUGCCAGCCGCCGCAGUAA